RNAcentral lists this ribosomal RNA (253 nucleotides) under uncultured bacterium. Its description in RNAcentral is "partial 16S ribosomal RNA". It matches the Rfam family "Bacterial small subunit ribosomal RNA", at positions 524 to 776 of the family's 1533-position model. The record is from RNAcentral.
UACAGGGGGUGCAAACGUUGCUCGGAAUCAUUGGGCGUAAAGCGCACGUAGGCGGUCUGUUAUGUCGGAUGUGAAAGCCCUUGGCUCAACUGAGGAAGUGCAUCCGAAACUGGCAGGCUAGAGUACUAAAGAGGGUCGCGGAAUUCCCGGUGUAGAGGUGAAAUUCGUAGAUAUCGGGAGGAACACCGGUGGCGAAGGCGGCGACCUGGGUAGAUACUGACGCUGAGGUGCGAAAGCGUGAGGAGCAAACAGG